GCGGAGGAAAAGAAACCAACAGGGAUUGCCUCAGUAACGGCGAGUGAAGCGGCAACAGCUCAAAUUUGAAAUCUGGGUCUUUCAGGCUCCGAGUUGUAAUUUGUAGAAGAUGCUUUGGGUGUGGCUCCGGUCUAAGUUCCUUGGAACAGGACGUCAUAGAGGGUGAGAAUCCCGUACGUGACUGGUUGCCUUCGCCCGUGUAAAGCUCUUUCGACGAGUCGAGUUGUUUGGGAAUGCAGCUCAAAAUGGGUGGUAAAUUUCAUCUAAAGCUAAAUAUUGGCCAGAGACCGAUAGCGCACAAGUAGAGUGAUCGAAAGAUGAAAAGCACUUUGGAAAGAGAGUUAAACAGUACGUGAAAUUGUUGAAAGGGAAGCGCUUGCAACCAGACUUGCACGCUGCCGAUCAUCCGGGGUUCUCCCCAGUGCACUCGGUUGCGUUCAGGCCAGCAUCGGUUUGGGUGGUUGGAUAAAGGCCUUGGGAAUGUAGCUUCUUUCGGGGAGUGUUAUAGCCCUCGGUGCAAUGCAGCCUACCCGGACCGAGGACCGCGCUUCGGCUAGGAUGCUGGCGUAAUGGUUGUAAGCGACCCGUCUUG
RNAcentral lists this ribosomal RNA (592 nucleotides) under Hamatocanthoscypha laricionis. Its description in RNAcentral is "eukaryotic LSU rRNA". It matches the Rfam family "Eukaryotic large subunit ribosomal RNA", at positions 50 to 656 of the family's 3401-position model. Lineage: Eukaryota; Fungi; Ascomycota; Leotiomycetes; Helotiales; Hamatocanthoscyphaceae. The record is from RNAcentral.